GAAGUGCGAAUGCUGACAUGAGUAACGAUAAGGGGGGUGAAAAACCUCCCCGCCGGAAGAUCAAGGUUUCCUGCGCAACGCUAAUCGGCGCAGGGUAAGUCGGCCCCUAAGGCGAGGGCGAAAGCCGUAGUCGAUGGGAAGCAGGUUAACAUUCCUGCACUUCUUUUUAUUGCGAUGGAGGGACGGAGAAGGCUAGGCCAGCAGGGCGAUGGUUGUCCCUGUUUAAGGUGGUAGGCUGAAUUCUUAGGUAAAUCCGGGAGUUCAUUAAGGCCGAGAGCUGAUGACGAGUGCCCUAGGGUGCGAAGUGGUUGAUGCCAUGCUUCCAAGAAAAGCUUCUAAGCUUCAGAUAAAAAGGAACCGUACUGUAAACCGACACAGGUGAUCAGGUAGAGAAUACCAAGGCGCUUGAGAGAACUCGGGUGAAGGAACUAGGCAAAAUGGUACCGUAACUUCGGGAGAAGGUACGCCGGCUUUGGUGAUGGGACUUGCUCCCUAAGCUGAGGCCGGCCGAAGUGACCAGUUGGCUGCGACUGUUUAUUAAAAACACAGCACUCUGCAAACACGAAAGUGGACGUAUAGGGUGUGACGCCUGCCCGGUGCCGGAAGGUUAAUUGAUGGGGUUAUCUUCGGAGAAGCUCUUGAUCGAAGCCCCGGUAAACGGCGGCCGUAACUAUAACGGUCCUAAGGUAGCGAAAUUCCUUGUCGGGUAAGUUCCGACCUGCACGAAUGGCGUAACGAUGGCCACACUGUCUCCACCCGAGACUCAGUGAAAUUGAAAUCGCUGUUAAGAUGCAGUGUACCCGCGGCUAGACGGAAAGACCCCGUGAACCUUUACUAUAGCUUCACAUUGGACUUUGACCUUAUUUGUGUAGAAUAGCUGGGAGGCUUUGAAGCAAUGGCGCUAGCUGUUGUGGAGCCACCUUUGAAAUACCAGCCUGAUAAUGUUGAGGUUCUAACCUAGGCCCGUAAUCCGGGUCGGGGACAAUGUGUGGUGGGUAGUUUGACUGGGGCGGUCUCCUCCUAAAGAGUAACGGAGGAGCACGAAGGUGCGCUAAUCACGGUCGGAAAUCGUGAGGUUAGUGUAAAGGCACAAGCGCGCUUGACUGCGAGUCUGACAAGACGAGCAGGUACGAAAGUAGGUCUUAGUGAUCCGGUGGUUCUGUAUGGAAGGGCCA
This 1175-nucleotide ribosomal RNA is filed under the name marine metagenome. RNAcentral's name for it is "bacterial LSU rRNA". It matches the Rfam family "Bacterial large subunit ribosomal RNA", at positions 1285 to 2444 of the family's 2925-position model. The record is from RNAcentral.